GUGGGGAAUAUUGGGCAAUGGGCGCAAGCCUGACCCAGCAACGCCGCGUGAAGGAAGAAGGCUUUCGGGUUGUAAACUUCUUUUACCAGGGACGAAACAAAUGACGGUACCUGGUGAAUAAGCCACGGCUAACUACGUGCCAGCAGCCGCGGUAAUACGGAGGUGGCGAGCGUUAUCCGGAUUUAUUGGGUGUAAAGGGCGUGUAGGCGGGACAGCAAGUCAGAUGUGAAAACCAGAGGCUCAACCUCUGGCCUGCAUUUGAAACUGGUGUUCUUGGGGGUCGGAGAGGUAAUCGGAAUUUCGUGUGUAGAGGUGAAAUGCGUAGAUAUACGGAGGAACACCAGUGGCGAAGGCGGAUUACUGGACGAUAACUGACGCUGAGGCGCGAAAGCGUGGGGAGCAAACAGGAUUAGAAACCCCGGUAGUCC
This 428-nucleotide ribosomal RNA is filed under the name uncultured bacterium. RNAcentral describes it as "partial 16S ribosomal RNA". It matches the Rfam family "Bacterial small subunit ribosomal RNA", at positions 354 to 796 of the family's 1533-position model. The record is from RNAcentral.